Molecule: non-coding RNA, 264 nt
Organism: Xyrichtys novacula (pearly razorfish)
Lineage: Eukaryota; Metazoa; Chordata; Actinopteri; Labriformes; Labridae
Source: the annotation of a GenBank genome assembly
GGACUGGCCUGAGGUCUCUCUACAAACAAGCGUCUGCUGGAAGAGAGUAGGUGAGUUGUGUUUAGUCUCUUUGCUAAAGAAAUGAGUCAAAGUUACAAAGAUGUUUGGUGUCUAGUACUAUGUCUGUGACCCUAUAUGUCCUGUUGAUGAAGUUAGGUGCUGUUCUGAGCAUUAUUUGUGGCUAUAGAGUGGUGUUUUGGUUGAGCGCGUGGCUCUCUGUAUUACUAUCCUGCGGUCGUUACUAAAGUUGGUAUAAGUAGAGAA